Ribosomal RNA from Danio rerio (zebrafish), 118 nucleotides. The record is from Ensembl. NCBI's taxonomy places the organism in Eukaryota, Metazoa, Chordata, Actinopteri, Cypriniformes, Danionidae.
AGCCACAGCCAUAUCCCCCCUGCAGCCCGAGACUGAUAACUCAAUGAAGCUAAGCAGGGCUGAGCCUGGUCACUACCUGGAUAGGAGACCAAAUGUGAAAACUAGGUUGCUGUUGGAA